AUCAUUUCCCUCACCCAAACCCUAGACCUAACCAAGAAACGGCGCCCUACUACUAUUCAUCUUCUUCCUCACUGAUUCAAUCCGGAUUCAACCUCAACUCGCCUAGAACUCAAGCUUCACUCAAAUGAGACUCUUCCCCUCCACGUCAUUUGAUUGCCAAUGGUUUCUGUCAGAAAGAAUACAAAUAUUCUCUCAGAAUCGCAUGAUGCCUGUACUAUAGGAACAAUUUGCUGGAUGAAUGGGAGCCGUGGAUCGAUGUAAAUCGAUCUAUGCCUUUUAUUUGUCCCAAAAUGGUUCAAAAAUUUGAAGAUUUUACGGAUUUGUUUGGCAAAGGUUCGAGAUUUUUGAGGAGUGUAUAUAUGAGGUAAGUUUCUCUUUUUCUGGGUAAAGAAAGAUCAAAGAAAAAAAUAGAGAAAAUUUUCAGGAUUUAGUAGUAGAAUUUCUAGGGGUUUGUAGUUCUUCCCUUCACUUCAAGCUUUUCUUUUCCAGUUAGCAUUUCUAGAAAAAAUGGAAAAAUAUAUAUAAAAAAAAGUAGCAUAUGUUAUGUUUGUUGGUCUGGUUUUCAUUUUCGAAAGGAGUUAAAGAAUUUACAAAUCUCAG
RNAcentral lists this long non-coding RNA (600 nucleotides) under Nicotiana benthamiana. Its description in RNAcentral is "long non-coding RNA (NBEN_LNC005265)". The record is from RNAcentral. Lineage: Eukaryota; Viridiplantae; Streptophyta; Magnoliopsida; Solanales; Solanaceae.